UUACCCACUCCCGGCACGGGGAGGUAGUGACGAAAAAUAACGAUACGGGACUCAUCCGAGGCCCCGUAAUCGGAAUGAGUACACUCUAAACCCUUUAACGAGGAUCAAUUGGAGGGCAAGUCUGGUGCCAGCAGCCGCGGUAAUUCCAGCUCCAAUAGCGUAUAUNAAAGUUGUUGCGGUUAAAAAGCUCGUAGUCGAAUCUGUGUCUCGCGCCGCCGGUUCAUCGCUCGCGGUGUUUAACUGGCGUGCCGCGGGACGUCCUGCCGGUGGGCUUAGCUUUCGGGCGGCCCAACUUGAAAUCCCACCGCGGUGCUCUUCAUUGAGUGUCGAGGUGGGCCGGCACGUUUACUUUGAACAAAUUAGAGUGCUUAAAGCAGGCUAAAAUUUCGCCUGAAUACUGUGUGCAUGGAAUAAUGGAAUAGGACCUCGGUUCUAUUUUGUUGGUUUUCGGAACCCCGAGGUAAUGAUUAAUAGGAACGGAUGGGGGCAUUCGUAUUGCGACGUUAGAGGUGAAAUUCUUGGAUCGUCGCAAGACGAACAGAAGCGAAAGCAUUUGCCAAAAACGCUUUCAUUGAUCAAGAACGAAAGUUAGAGGUUCGAAGGCGAUCAGAUACCGCCCUAGUUCUAACCAUAAACGAUGCCAGCUAGCGAUCCGCCGACGUUCCUCCGAUGACUCGGCGGGCAGCUUCCGGGAAACCAAAGCUUUUGGGUUCCGGGGGAAGUAUGGUUGCAAAGCUGAAACUUAAAGGAAUUGACGGAAGGGCACCACCAGGAGUGGAGCCUGCGGCUUAAUUUGACUCAACACGGGAAACCUCACCAGGCCCGGACACCGGAAGGAUUGACAGAUUGAGAGCUCUUUCUUGAUUCGGUGGGUGGUGGUGCAUGGCCGUUCUUAGUUGGUGGAGCGAUUUGUCUGGUUAAUUCCGAUAACGAACGAGACUCUAGCCUGCUAACUAGGCGUACUUUCGACAUCUCAAAGGCCCGCCGGCCCGGACCGUCCUCGGGACGCGGUCGCGCGCGGUUUUUACUGUCGGCGUACAAUCAAUUCUUCUUAGAGGGACAGGCGGCUUCUAGCCGCACGAGAUUGAGCAAUAACAGGUCUGUGAUGCCCUUAGAUGUUCUGGGCCGCACGCGCGCUACACUGAAGGAAUCAGCGUGUCCUCCCUGGCCGAGAGGCCCGGGUAACCCGCUGAACCUCCUUCGUGCUAGGGAUUGGGGCUUGCAAUUGUUCCCCAUGAACGAGGAAUUCCCAGUAAGCGCGAGUCAUAAGCUCGCGUUGAUUACGUCCCUGCCCUUUGUACACACCGCCCGUCGCUACUACCGAUUGAAUGAUUUAGUGAGGUCUUCGGACCGGUACGCGGCGGCGCUCCCGCGUCGCCGAUGUUGCUGGGAAGAUGACCAAA
RNAcentral lists this ribosomal RNA (1403 nucleotides) under Hydrophilidae sp. SLE0130. Its description in RNAcentral is "SSU rRNA". It matches the Rfam family "Eukaryotic small subunit ribosomal RNA", at positions 441 to 1763 of the family's 1831-position model. The record is from RNAcentral. Lineage: Eukaryota; Metazoa; Arthropoda; Insecta; Coleoptera; Hydrophilidae.